CAGCAGCCGCGGUAAUACGUAGGGCGCGAGCGUUAAUCGGAAUUACUGGGCGUAAAGCGCGCGCAGGCGGUUAUGUAAGGCAGAUGUGAAAUCCCCGGGCUCAACUGGGAAACUGCAUUUGUGACUGCAUAGCUAGAGUACGGCAGAGGGGGAUGGAAUUCCGGGUGUAGCAGUGAAAUGCGUAGAUAUGCGGAGGAACACCGAAGGCGAAGGCAAUCCCCUGGGCCUGUACUGACGCUGAUGCACGAAAGCGUGGGGAGCAAACAGGAUUAGAUACCCUGGUAGUCCAGGCCGUAAACGAUGUCAACUGGAUGUUGGG
RNAcentral lists this ribosomal RNA (319 nucleotides) under uncultured bacterium. RNAcentral describes it as "bacterial SSU rRNA". It matches the Rfam family "Bacterial small subunit ribosomal RNA", at positions 509 to 827 of the family's 1533-position model. The record is from RNAcentral.